This 468-nucleotide ribosomal RNA is filed under the name uncultured bacterium. RNAcentral describes it as "partial 16S ribosomal RNA". It matches the Rfam family "Bacterial small subunit ribosomal RNA", at positions 28 to 507 of the family's 1533-position model. The record is from RNAcentral.
GACGAACGCUGGCGGCGUGCUUAACACAUGCAAGUCGAACGGUGAAGCUCCAGCUUGCUGGAGUGGAUCAGUGGCGAACGGGUGAGUAACACGUGAGCAACCUGCCCCUGACUCUGGAAUAAGCGCUGGAAACGGCGUCUAAUACUGGAUACGAGAAGGGUCCGCAUGGGCACUUUCUGGAAAGUUUUUCGGUUGGGGAUGGGCUCGCGGCCUAUCAGCUUGUUGGUGAGGUAACGGCUCACCAAGGCGACGACGGGUAGCCGGCCUGAGAGGGCGACCGGCCACACUGGGACUGAGACACGGCCCAGACUCCUACGGGAGGCAGCAGUGGGGAAUAUUGCACAAUGGGCGAAAGCCUGAUGCAGCGACGCCGCGUGAGGGAUGACGGCCUUCGGGUUGUAAACCUCUUUCAGCAGGGAAGAAGCGAAAGUGACGGUACCUGCAGAAGAAGCACCGGCUAACUACGUG